Non-coding RNA from Megalobrama amblycephala (Wuchang bream), 566 nucleotides. The record is from the annotation of a RefSeq genome assembly. Lineage: Eukaryota; Metazoa; Chordata; Actinopteri; Cypriniformes; Xenocyprididae.
UGAUCAGAUGCUUCAGUGCUCUGAGAGUGUUUAUAGUGCUGUGAGUUUAACACUUCAUCACUGACACACACAACAAUCUUCAUCAACAUGACCUUCAUCAUCAUCUGGACGCUCUUAUACUGCUUUAUACUACAAGGCUGUAGAGCUCAGAUCACAGUGACUCAAACUCCUGCAGUGAAAACUGUUAAACCAGGAGAAAAUGUUGAGAUGAGCUGUAAAUUCAGUACUGCUCCAGGCUGCAGCCCACCAUGUGUUGCUUGGUAUUUACAGAAACCUGGAGAAGCUCCUAAACUCCUGAUUUAUUACACAAACCGCCUCCAGUCAGGAACUCCAUCUAGAUUCAGUGGCAGUGGAUCUAACAGUGAUUUCACUCUGACCAUCAGUGGAGUCCAGACUGAAGAUGCUGGACAUUAUUACUGUAUGAGUGAACACAGUGGUCCAGUGUUCACACAGUGAUAAAGAGUCGUACAAAAACCUCCGUCAGUCAGAGUCACAGUGACUGAACUGAUACUGCAGCUGCUCAAAGGAGGAUCUGAAACAACAUCGUCACACAAACAUCUGAAAUA